This 2641-nucleotide long non-coding RNA is filed under the name Homo sapiens (human). Its description in RNAcentral is "HSALNT0153178". Lineage: Eukaryota; Metazoa; Chordata; Mammalia; Primates; Hominidae. The record is from RNAcentral.
AUUUUAAUGUAUAGUAUUAAACAUGGGUUAUACGCUAAUCUACUUUAAAAUUGAGAAUCACAACUCCAAUUGUAAAUAUUUUCCUUAUUCAUUGCUUAGUAAUGCCUACCUUACCAUACAUGAAUUUCUUAUAUAUAACUGGUCAAUUUUUGAGCUUUUCAACAUAUUUCAUUAAUUUCUGAUUCUAUUUUUUGUUCUUUAGCUCAGUGGUUCUCAACCAGGGGUAAAUUUUCUACCAAGAGCACAUUUUUGGUCAUCACAACUGAAGGAGAAGGUGCUACAGGCAUUUGAUGAGUAGAGUAGAGGCCACUGAUGCUACUGAACAUGUUACAAUGCACAGGACAGCAUCCACAAUAAAAAAUUAUCUGGCCCCAAAUAUCAAUGGUGCUGAUGUUGACAAAUCCUACUUCAGCUUUGUAUUUUAUUUACUGAUGUAAACUGAAAGUGUUCUAUAUAAUCCACCUGUUGGUAUAGGAAGACUACAAGGAAAGAUCAACUUUGACGAUACGUUUGAGACUUUACAAGUUUGGUUGCUGAAUAUAGAAAUUAAACCCAAGGGCAACAAACAUUUAUGCAAAAUUCCUCCAAAGUGAUACUCUCAACACCUAAGGUCUACAUGAACCUUACAGAAGAAGUAAGCUCGGCUAAACUGGAGCUAAACAAAAACCACAAAUAUAAGGAAACAGUCCACCAUGAGCUAAAGAAAGCAGACACAACCAACAGGAGGAUCAGAGUGCCAAUAUUUUCAGAUAAUAGGACAAUCUGAAAAUACAUAAUUGCAUUUGAUAUAAUUAAAGACAAACUAAAACCAUAAGCACAGAAAAUGACACUAUAAAAAUAAUUUUAAAAACACACAGAAUUUCUGGAAAUUAAAAAGCAGCAACGAGAUGGGCUAAGAGAUGGAGUGAAAGAAUGAGAAGAUACACAUAGAUGUUGCAGAAAAGAUAUUUGAAGCAGCAAUGGUUGAGAGUUUUACAGAAUUAGUGACAAACAUGACUUAAUAUUCAGGAUACACAAUAAGUCCUAGCUAGUAUAAAUUCACACUUAGACAUAUUAUAUUGAAAUUUCAGAGCACCAAAAGAGGUGGAGGAUUUAACCCCCCAACUCAUGACAAAGUUGGAGGGUCAGACAUGCCUCAUUAUACCCUCCUCCCUUUUGGAAUUCAGGAAAAGUUGACCAGCGUUUACCAUCUACACAGACUUUAAGUGUGAUAAGAAACAUUUACAGUCUAUUCUCUCUGGAGCCUGCUACCUGGAGGCUUCAUCUGUAUGAUAAAAUUUUGGUCUCCAUAACCUCUUAUCAAACCGGACAUUCCUUUCUAUUGAUAAUGACUCUUUCAACAAAUUGCCAAUCAGAAAAUUUUUAAAUCUACCUAUAACCUGAAAGCUCUCCCCUUCAGAUUGUUCCACUUUCUGGAUCAAACCAAUGUAUAUCUUAAAUGUAUUUGAUUGAUGUCUCAUAUUUCCCUAAAAUGUAUGAAACCAAGCUUCACCCUGACCACUUUGAGCACAUGUUCUGAGGGUCUCCUGCAGGCUGUGUCACAGGGCGUGGUCACUCAUAUUUAGCUCACAAUAAAUCUCUUCAGAAUUGGAAUCUCUUCAUCAACAGUACUAGACUCUUGCUGAAAGGAUUGCUAAAGGAUAAACUUCAUGAGCAAAUUACAGUAGGAGAGGAAUAGUAAGCAAAGAAACUGAUGAAUACAGGUAAAUUCAAAGAAGCCCAACUGAAAAAAAGGUGAAAAUUUUAAGGAAAAUAUAAAAAUGAAGGAUGACAUAUAAGAGCUCGAAGUAGCCAAAGAAUGGUCAUUGAUUGUUUAAGAGAAUCAUGGAGCUAUUGAUGAACUUCAGUUUGUGUUGUCAAAUAUGUAUAUUUAAAAUUUUAAAGUAAUUUAAAAAAAGAAAUAUAAUUUUUAACCAAUAAAGGAAGGAAAUAGGGGAUUAAACCAAAUUAAGUAAUCCAAAGUAGAUGAUGGUAGGGAGCAAGAAAAAAGUAAAAAUCCACGUUUAUUCAUAAUUCAAUAGUAAAACACUUGAAAUAUUUUCUUUAAAGUCGGCAACAAGGCAAAGAUGUUUUCUACCACUGCCUCUAUCCAACGUUACAGGGGAGUUCUUAACCAAAGCAAUAAGACAAGGCAAAAAAGUAAAAAACAUGACAAUUGGAAAAGAAGAAAUAAAUCUGCUGCCACUUAUAGAUGAUGUAAUUGUCUGAAAAAAAACUACAGAAUAUAUGACAUACUCAUAAAAUUAAUAAUAGAGGUUUUUAAAAUUUCUUCAAAGAAAUUGAUAUACAAAUAUCAAGGUUGCUUCUAUAAUGCAGCAGAAAACAACUGGCAAAUGUAAUUAUCCCCUAGCAAUUCUGCUAUGUGUCAAACUAAGAGAGCUCUUGCAUAUAUGCACAAAGAGACAAAAAUAAGAAUAUUUUCUGCAAAAACAUUUAUGACAGUGAAAAAGCAUAUUAAGCAAACAAACGCAUAAACAAACUGUCCCUCAGUAGGUAUAUUUGCACAAUAGGAUAAAUUGCAACAAUUAAAACGAAUGGACUGCCCAUCUGGAUAAAUCUCAGAAACAUAAUGUUGAAUGAAAAGGCAAGUUGCAAAAGAAAGGUUCAGCAUAGUGUCAUUUAUGUAAAAUUUUCCUAAAAU